Long non-coding RNA from Lepus europaeus (European hare), 2583 nucleotides. RefSeq lists it as uncharacterized. NCBI's taxonomy places the organism in Eukaryota, Metazoa, Chordata, Mammalia, Lagomorpha, Leporidae. The transcript has 5 exons. The record is from RefSeq and is a predicted model, not a curated record.
GGCAGCAGCCCUGAGGCCUUUCGUUUUGACAGGAGCCUGAAGCUCUACCACCUGUCUCACAAGGUGACUGGAAAUUAAAAAGAUUCCUGAGUUGCUGAUUCCAGCUUCAUUCCAUUGUAGUUCGAGAAGAUGCAUGGUGUUGUACAUCUGCAAAUUUUGAUGUUAUACUAUACUAAGACUGCAAUGAAGGAGAUCAGAGUGAAAGGACAGGAAGUCUGCUGAUCAUGGGUUGCCAGAUAAAAAUACAGGACACACAAUUAACUUUGACUAACAGCUUCCAGCUCCUGAAUCCAGCUUCCUAGAAGAUAGAAGGUGAUGGCUCAAACAGCUGAGUCCCUGCCAUACAUAUGGGAGACGUGGAUUGAGUUUCCAGCUCCAACCCAACCCCAAGAGUUAAUGCAAUCACUUCACUUUGGAUGUCCCUAAAAUAUCUGCUACAAUGAAAUGAAAGUUCAUAAAAAUGAAAACCAACAGAAAACACCAAAAAGAAGAACAUCUGGAAAUGAAGAGAAAACAUAAUCACAGAGGGAAUAAUGCAAACAUGAAAAACUACUGGGUAUGAAUAACUGGUAAACUGUAAUCAGUGUGGAAAAGACUAACAUAGGAAAUAAUGUGAGCAUCACAAGACAAGAUGUUGAGUAUAACACUUAAACAUAUGGAGCACGCUCUCUUCAUAGAAAGGCUUUUCUUGACCCCCACACAGGCUGAGACAGCUUCCCUGUUGGGAAAUCUGAUUUUAGAGUAUACAACUGAAGCCAGGAAAUUACAGGGAAUGCACACUCCAGAGCCAGCAAUGAUCUUCCCAUCCAUGAAAGCCAAGAGUCCAUUUCCACCAGUAAUUAUUUAUGAAUGACCAUGUAUUGUUCUCUCAGGACUUUGCUUGUUGGACUCUGUACCUGAGAUUAAGGUUGUUAAUUGUGCUUACAAAGAAAUACUUGAGUAAAUAUAUAAAAUAUGCUAAAACUUUAACAAUAAUUUCUAUGUACACUAACACAUACUUGUUUUGGCAGGUGUAGCUAAAGAUCAUCUAAGUCUUCAUGGCAUGGAUUUCCUGUUACUUUGUUGGUAAAAGGAAAUGUCUCUCCAACUUUGGGUGAAUAAAUCACAAUGUGAUCCCUGUGUUUAACACAGAGCUUGGAUCCAUGAAUGUUUGACUGAAUGAAAUGUUAAGAAAAGCAGAGGUUGAUUUGAAUUAUGAUUUUUGAGGGUAAAAUUAGAAACAUGCAUGCUUGAGUCAGGAAGAUAGUUAACUAUUAUUACUUAGCCAAGUCCUAUCUAAGGCAGUACAUUAAAAGGUGGUCCAAAACUUAAUUUCCAUUAUGUUCCCUGAAUACACAAGUAUCCACAAAGAGAAUAAACCCAGGGACGUGUGACCGUACUCAUACAAUUUUAUGAGAAAAAAACCUGUGAUGAAUAAGAAAGACCUACGAGUAUGCAAAUGAGACCAUACUUUACAACUCAAUUUUUAGCAUGUGUUCAUGGGUUCUACACUUAUUUUUCAUAAGAAAAAUGUCAACUUAGUCUUCUACCUUUUUAUAUAUUCAUUCCAUAUUUCUUUGGGGCACAAAAGCAUGAGCUAUAGCAGCAAUUCUCAAACUCUUUAGGUUUCAAGAAUUCCUUACAUUGUCAAAAAUUAUUGUUGGGCACCAAUGAGAUUUUUCCUAUGUGUAUAAAUCUAUUGAUAAUUAUUGUUAACUUCUUUAAACAUUUCAUUAUUAAGCUAUCUUAAAUUAAUAAUGAGUCCACUACAUGUUAAAUUAAUUGGCCACAUUUUUCUGAGCAAGACAACAAAACCACAUUAAUACUGAGGGACUUUUUUUGUUCUUUUAGUAUCAUUACUGUCUGACUCAAUAGAAAACAAUUGGAAUCCUAUAUCUGUGUUCACAUUUCAUCUGUUUUCUUGUUCCUUAGUUGCAGCAUGUAAGCAAAAUUUUGUCUUACACAAACAUUGAAAAAGUCACAAGUAUUUUAUAAAUUUUAUAAAUUUUUAUAAAAUUGUUGUUAUCUUUCUUUGGUACUAUACCAAAACUAAACAAGUGAUUAUUUAAAGAUUACUUGUAAUAUAUAACAUAAAUCAUAUCAAUGUACUUCUUGUAUCAUAACUCUUUGGCCCCUUUUGUGCUUUGAGUGCUUUAUUUAGUCCCAUAAAUUAUUUUAUAGCAUCCUAUGUUGGUAAUUUGGAAAAUAUUGGUUCACUAUGUAUUAACUUGUUUUCUUUUAAAAUAUCAUUGCAUGCUAUGUAGCCUUCGGAAAAUUCCACCAUAGACUCAUGAGACAUGGAGUGAAAAAGGAAAAUAGUAUCUUUGUAUUGUAGUAAGUUUAGUUUUAACUUUGCAGACCUCCAGCAGUACCUGGACCACACUUUGAGAAAGGCUGAUCAGUAGGAUCUUUUUGAUCUUUUAAUGAAAUUGCUGUAAGCAUCAACCCACACUUUACUCUGAAGGAGGGAAAAGCAUGUCACUUCUCCAAGAAGCAAGUUAGACUCCCCCACAGGCAGAGGAAACACUUCCUUCACAAUGUUUGUUGUCCCGAUAUAAAUGUUUUGAAUCUUUCCAUAUGAAAAGUUCACAAUAAAUAUUUUUC